UACAGAGGUGGCAAGCGUUGUUCGGAAUUACUGGGCGUAAAGGGCGCGUAGGCGGUCUUGUAAGUCUUGUGUGAAAUCCCUCGGCUCAACUGAGGAACUGCACGGGAUACUGCGAGACUUGAGUUCGGGAGAGGGUAGUGGAAUUCCCGGUGUAGUGGUGAAAUGCGUAGAUAUCGGGAGGAACACCAGUGGCGAAGGCGACUACCUGGCCUGUUCUUGACGCUGAGGCGCGAAAGCUAGGGGAGCAAACGGG
This 253-nucleotide ribosomal RNA is filed under the name uncultured bacterium. RNAcentral's name for it is "partial 16S ribosomal RNA". It matches the Rfam family "Bacterial small subunit ribosomal RNA", at positions 524 to 776 of the family's 1533-position model. The record is from RNAcentral.